UGAGACUGCCGGUGACAAACCGGAGGAAGGUGGGGACGACGUCAGAUCAUCAUGCCCCUUAUGACCUGGGCUACACACGUGCUACAAUGGACGGUACAACGAGUUGCAAACUCGCGAGAGCAAGCUAAUCUCUUAAAGCCGUUCUCAGUUCGGACUGUAGGCUGCAACUCGCCUACACGAAGUCGGAAUCGCUAGUAAUCGCGGAUCAGCAUGCCGCGGUGAAUACGUUCCCGGGCCUUGUACACACCGCCCGUCACACCAUGGGAGUUUGUAACGCCCAAAGUCGGUGGCCUAACCUUUGUGGAGGGAGCCGCCUAAGGCGGGACAGAUGACUGGGGUGAAGUCGUAACAAGG
This 354-nucleotide ribosomal RNA is filed under the name uncultured bacterium. RNAcentral's name for it is "bacterial SSU rRNA". It matches the Rfam family "Bacterial small subunit ribosomal RNA", at positions 1144 to 1496 of the family's 1533-position model. The record is from RNAcentral.